Molecule: long non-coding RNA, 13001 nt
Organism: Solanum dulcamara
Lineage: Eukaryota; Viridiplantae; Streptophyta; Magnoliopsida; Solanales; Solanaceae
Exons: 16
Source: RefSeq, a predicted model, not a curated record
CGUAAAGACUUAUUUAUUCUAAAAAGUAAGUACUAGAACAAAAAAUUACAAAAAAUGAUAUGUUUUGUAUUAACGUGUUUCUUUUUUUCCGCGUGUAUUAACUAAGUUCGAAAACUAUAAAAGAGACAGCACCUGCGUAUUUUAGAAUUCAACUGAAAAAACGCAACUUCAUACGCCACCAGCGCAUCUUAGAGCAUUAAGCGAAUGUCCGAGACCGACCGCCUAUCUUCCUCUGAUUUCAAAUUACAGAAGAAGCGGAACUUCAUACGCUUACUUCACCGGAUUGCUGCUGUUAACUGUUCCGGUGACGAUGUCCGAUCAAAACCCUAAACCCUAAAUCAAUUUUCCCGCCGAUCUAUCUAUUGGAUUGGAGCCCCGUCCUUCUCUUUAUUCAGGAUGCUGUCGCAAAUCUCUGGACUGGAAGUGACUCUGUCGGGAAAUGGGGAGCAUUAAGCGAAUACCUGAGGCUAUUUGGAGUUCAAUUCGAUCAGGGGUUAUCUUGUUGUUGAGGAGUUGGUUUUCAACAGACUCGAUGCUCCUGCCACCAAGCGGCAUCAAAAUACAGCCGUUCAGAUGAUAUGUAUGCUUUCCCAGCAAGCUUUGGCUUUAAAGGAGAGGCUCUAAGCUCUAUUUCUGACGUUUCUUUGUUGGAAAUUGUUACCAAAACUCACGGGAGGCCAAAUGGAUAUUGUAAGGUUUUGAAGGACGGCAAGUGGUUGUACCUUAGAAUUUGAUGAUUGUAGACAAGAUGUUGGUACAACAGGUAAUUCUGUAUUAUCCUACCUGAUACAUGAGUUGAUUGUUGUUUGCUAAUAAGGAAAUUUGUUGGGAUUUUUCUUUUUGCGGUCAUUGUUCGUGAUGACAUGGGCAUAUGCUUUAUUCCCUUCUGAUGACGUGGGUAUAUGCUUUAAAGAGGCGAUGAUUUUUGCCAAUUUUAUUCCCUUCUGAGCUGAUUAUUCGGGCAUUUGAGGUUAUCCGACCCGUAUCUCGGCAGGGCAUGCCACUAGAUUUUAUGAUGAUUUUUGCAGCCAUGGCGUUGUUGGACUCUCUUUUUGCCUGAGCUUAACACAGAUCUGAGCCCAACUUUCUCUGUCAGUUUAGGGAAACUAAUGGCUGGGAAAGUGAACAAAGCAAAAGCUUGAAAGGGAAAGAAUGAGGCUACAGAGAGUUGAUGAUUUUUCAUUGAAUGGGUGAUUGCUCCUCUCUGUAUUCAGCCAAUGAUUUCUGCAUUACUGUAAGAAUUCCAACUAUCCUUCUAUCAAUUUUAUUGGAGGGAGUAUAUUAUUAACAGCUUGCUUGGAUUGUUGUUAUAUAUCGUCAAAAGGGUUUCUAUGUCCUUCCACUUUUUUUUCCCUUUAUUUUAAUGCUUCUGCCAGAGCAUGGAAUGUUGCCGGUGGAAGCGAUGAGGGUGAGUAUAAUCAGACGGCUUGAAAGAGGCGAUGAUGAUUUAUGUCAAUUUUUAUUACCUUAUGAGCUGAUUAAUCGGGCAUUUGACGUUAUCCGACCAGUAUCUUGGUGGGGCAUGCCACCAGAUUUUCUGGUGGUUUUUGCAGCCAUGGCGUGGUUAGACUCGCUUUUUGCCUGAGCUUAAGCACAGAUCUGAGCCUUAAUUUACUGGACUCCAUUACUGUAAGAAACCCUAUAACCCUUUUGUCAAUUUACUGGACUCCAUUAUUGUUUGGGUUGUUUUCUGUAAAAAUUUAUUUCAAAACACCUAUUUAUGUGUUGGCGAGUCGCAUCCCCGCGCAACGAAUUGCUUUUGAAACUUCAAUAUGAGUGAAAUUAAUAGGUUAAAACAGCUAAACAUCAUUAUUUAUUAUUAAUCGUAUAGGAUUUCAAAGUAUUAAAAAGGACCCCCUAACAGUUAUGCGUCACAGCUGUUCUCGGAGAACAAAAUAAUCUCCCUUUUGUUAUGGGAAAACAAUGCAAAACUACAUUUCUAGCUUCUUUUGGUUGCAAAACCAAACAGGCCAUUGUUAACAAGGACAUGUCAUGCAUAUUUGUUUUACUGAUUGGAGUAUUGUAUUGCGUAUAACAAUGUGCUUGCGGUUUCCCAAGACUGACAAUUCUUUCGGUUUGAACUUAGUCUCCUGGUUUUUGCUUGCUCAAUUAUUUCUGCUUCCCUUCAAAUGGAUUUUGCGAUUUUUCUGAAAAUUGACGUCAAUUUUCAUAAAUCUAGAUAUUUGCUACAUCAACUUCUUGGAGCCUUGAUGUCUUUAGGAUAUGGUGACAUCUGGCUGUAUAUUGAUUUUUGAGUGGGAUCAGGGUAGAGGGGUGGCUCAUAUUCUCAGGAGUUUUAAAUUGUGGAUUAAUCUGGGCCAUCUAAUUCAUUCUUCAGCUGUGGAGGUUGGAAACCCAGCUUUGACCUAUUAAAUAUGCUAACACUGUUGAUCUAUGGCAUCAUUCUAGAGACUCAAGAGCUUUCGAGUAUACUUUUUUCUGUAUCCUUUGUUUUCAAAGGGUAUCAGCUUACCUCCUUCGUUAGAGUUACUGAGUAUCUUUUCUCUUCUUUGAAGUAAUAAAAGAGAGAAAUAUAUUAAUGACUUUGAUGCCACCAAGGUGCAACUGUCCCGGUGACUAUGUCCGAUCAAAACCCUAAACCCUAAAUCUGUUGCUAUUCUUCCAUCCAUAAAAAAGGAAAGAAGGAAAGUUCGAUAACUUGAUAUUGUCAGAUUUUCUUUGAACACUUAAAGAAAAAAAUACCCUUUCAAAGUUUCGAUAUUCUCUAUGAUCUUACUAGGUAUUGAAUGGAAAAAGAUGUGGAGUUGUUCUUGAAGGCCCCACAACUCAAAAAAAUUUAGAUUUGUAGUAUUUUGAAUGAGGACACUCAAAUCGACAGACUUUCGUAAAUGCCCUCACUGGCCAUUUUCCUUUACAUGGUCUAGACUUUUUGACUUUGGUUGUUUCUUAAAAAUGGAAAAUUGUGCUAUGUAAGAGAAUGGAGAAUUAUAUGGUUCAUCUUUUCUGAUUUUGUUAAUGUUUUGAGGAUCAGUAGAGGUGGGCUGCUGAGAACAUCACAGUUAAGUGACUAAUGAUGGCAAGUCGUGCUUUCAUGCUGUUUUAAUCGUUUAGACUAAUUCCACCUUGCGAAUUUGUGUGUUGCUUGCAAAACGGCAGUGACCGGUGAGGCUCUUCAAUGAAUUCUUAUGUUCCUUUGUUUGCUACUUCUGAUGACGUGGGCAUAUGCUUUAUUCCCUUCUGAUGACGUGGGAAUAUGCUUUAAAGAGGCGAUUUUGAUUUUUGCCAAUUUUUUUCCCUUCUGAGCUGAUUAUAAUUUGAGGUUAUCAGACCCGUAUCUUGUUGGGGCAUGCCACCAGAUUUUCUGGUGAUUUUUGCAGCCAUGGCGUUGUUGGACUCUCUUUUUGCCUGAGCUUGACACAGAUCUGAGCCUAACUUUCUCUGUCAGUUUAGGGAAACUAACGGUUGGGAAAAUGAACAAAGCAAAGCUCAAAAGGGAAAGAAUGAGGCUACAGAGAGUUGAUGAUUUUUCAUUGAAUAGGUGAUUGCUUCUCUCUGUAUUCAGCCAAUGAUUUCUGCAUUACUGUAAGAAUCCCAACUAUCCUUCUAUCAAUUUUAUUGGAGGGAGUAUAUUAUUAACAGCUUACUUGGAUUGUUGUUAUAUAUCGGCAAGUUGUGCUUUCAUGCAGUUUUAAUCGCUUAGACUAAUUGCACCUGUGAAUUUGUCUGUUGCUUGCACAAAAGGCAGUGACUAGUGAGGCUUUUCAAUGAGUUCUUAUGUUGCUUUGUUUGCUACUUCUGUUGGCAACAAUAUCGAUUUCUUGAAUUUUCUUAAUCUAUGGACCUAUAGAGAGAAUGUGCAGAAAUGACACUUGAAAGGCUUAAACCCUCAAAAAUCCUUCUUGCUUUCAAAAAGAUGGAGCACAUUACUGAUAUAAACUUUUAUUGAUACCUCAGAAUGGAAUAACUAGCCAGAGAAGAAGUGCUUGUCAGGCUUUGUUUUCCUCAUUUAGAGAGGCAUAUAUCCUUCAUAGGGAGGAAUAUGAAAGUUGAAGAGAAUAAGCUAUAAAGUGUAGUAAAAGGUUUGAGAAUAUAGGUGAGCAACUAAUCAUGUAUUAACACCUUUCACUUCUAGACUGCUUGGCAAAUGGUUUACAUGUGCUUUAACUUUUUGAAUGAAUAAUAUGACAGAGAAAGUAUUAGAGAAUGUUAACGCAAGAUGUGUGACAGAUGUUGGUUGCUUGUGAAUCAGAUUUAAGUUCCGGCUUUAACCAAAACAUAUAACUUCAUGCUCAGAGUUAGGUUUAACUUUAAUGCAUGUUGCAAAAUUUAGUGCAAUGGAAUUUCUGGUAAAUGUCAAUUAUAUCAAGUUCCAUAGAUUGGUUGUGUGAUGAAACUCUAAACAAAGAUCGUAAUUUACCUGGUAAAUGAUCUUGAAGUUUGAGAAUGAUUGUUGCAGAUCCAACCCCAGUUUUGAAUUUGGUGAGCAUAGUUUGUGGUAAUUAGUAACCAAUUUCAGGAAUAACCUGCAAAAGCAUGGUCAAAGACUCAAAAUCCAUGUUACCUAUUAUAAAGAGUUUCAAGACAUCCCCACAAGGGUUGUUGAGGAGUUAUCUCGUAUGAUUUCACAAGGGUUGUUGAGGAGUUGGUUUUCAACAGCCUCGAUGCUGGUUCCACCAAGGUACUCAUUUACCCUUUCAAAAUUUCAAUAAUCUGUAUGAUUUUACUAGGUAUUGAAUGGAAAGAUGUGAGUUGUUCUUGAAGACCCCACUCACACAACUCUAAAAAAAAAUUAAGUAGUUUAAUUUAAGGAUGAAAAGUUAUGAUUUGUAGUAUUUUGAAUGAAGACACUCAAUUGGACAGACUUUAGUAAAUGCCCUCACUGGCCAUUUUCCUUUACAUGGUCUAGACUUUUUGACUUUUAUUGUUUCUUAAAAAUGGAAAAUAGUGCCAUGUAAGAGAAUGGAGAAUUAUAUGGUUCAUCUUUUCUGAUUUUUGUUAAUGUUUUGAGGAUCAGUAGAGGUGGGCUGUUGAGAACAUCAUAGUUAAGUAACUAACGAUGGCAAGUCAUGCUUUCAUGCUGUUUUAAUCGUUUAGACUAAUUCCACCUGCGAAGUUCUGUGUUGCUUGCAAAAAAGGCAGUGACUGGUGAGGCUCUUCAAUGAAUUCUUAUGUUCCUUUGUUUGCUACUUCUGAUGACGUGGGCAUAUUCUUUAAAGAGGCGAUGAUGAUUUUUGCCAAUUUUAUUCCCUUCUGAGUUGAUUAUUUGGGCAGUUGAGGUUGUCCGACCCGUUUCUUGGCGGGGCAUGCCACCAGAUUUUCUGGUGAUUUUUGCAGCCAUGGCGUUGUUGGACUCUCUUUUUGCCUGAGCUUAACACAGAUCUGAGCCUAACUUUCUCUGUCAGUUUAGGGAAAUUAACGAUUGGGAAAAUGAAAAAAGCAAAAGCUUAAAAGGGAAAGAAUGAGGCUACAGAGAGUUGAUGAUUUUUCAUUGAAUGGGUGAUUGCUUCUCUCUGUAUUCAGCCAAUGAUUUCUGCAUUACUAUAAUGCAUUUUCAGUGCGCAAAGUUCUGCUCAAUUUAUUAUUUACUUCAUCACCUGAAGUUGUACUUUCUUCUAAAGGAUCUGGUGUCUCAUGAAAUGGACUGGUGCUUAUGGGAGAAAGAUAUGGUAAUCUUUUGCAAACUGUUGCACUGACAUCAUCUUUUCUAGUGUAUUGAUGCUGCUGUACAUAAUUUAUUUUGCCCGACAAUUAUGAUGUUCAUAAGUUGGAAUGGUUGUUGUUGUUGUCUAUAGGAUUGCAUGCAUUACCUCAACUAAUAGGCUGUUUGACGGUUUGUGUUCAUUAAUAUCUUUUUACAGAUGUUUUUUUAUUUAUUAUUAUGUACAUGUGGCUUUGUCCACUCCACAUUCCCUUCCCUACCCUACCCUGGAGGCUGUAGUUCCCCACCUACCUCCCUAAAAGAAGGGGGGGGGGGACUGUGGAAGGUUUUGUUAGUGAAAGAGAGUUACUUAUGCAUCAGAUGGUGCAAAGCAUUUCAGUGUUAUGACAUCGUGUAGUUUUAUCACUUUCUUUUCUCUUUAGAAUAUCGUUGUUGAAGUAUCCUCCUCAUCUAUUGCUAUCCCAUUCCCUGCUCCUCUUUUCAGAUAUACCUGUGAAUUAUGAGAUCAUGAAAAAUAGGUGCAGGGCCCAGUGUUACAAAGCUACACUUAGGCUUCCUUCCCCGCAGCGAAAGAAUUUGUUUUAAUUUUUUGAGUGAGAUUUGGGGCUCAAUUCUCCCAGGGGUUAUCUUGUAUGAUUCCACAAGGGUUGUUGAGGGGUUGGUUUUCAACAGCCUCGACGCUGGUGCCACCAAGGUACAACUGUCCCGGUGAUGAUGUCCGAUCAAAACCCUAAACCCUAAACCUAUUGCUAUUCUUCCAUCCAUAAAAAAGGAAAGAAGGAAAGUUCGAUAACUUGAUAUUGUCAGAUUUUCUUGGAACACUUAGAAAAAAAAUACCCUUUCAAAGUUUCGAUAUUCUCUAUGAUCUUACUAGGUAUUGAAUGGAAAAUGUGAAGUUGUUCUUGAAGGCCCCACUCGCACAACUCAAAAAAAAUUAAGUAGUUUAAUUUAAGGAUGAGAAGUUGUGAUUUGUAGUAUAAAGACACUCAAUUGGACAGACUUUUGUAAACGCCCUCACUGGCCAUUUUCCUUUAAUGGUCUAGACUUUUUGACCUUGAUUGUUUCUUAAAAAUGGAAAAUAGUGCCAUGUAAGAGAAUGGAGAAUUAUAUGAUUCAUCUUUUCUGUUUUUGUUAACGUUUUGAAGAUCAGUAGAGGUGGGCUGCUGAGAACGAUGGCAAGUCGUGCUUUCAUGCUGUUUUAAUCAUUUUGGACUAAUUGCACCUGCGAAUUUGUGUGUUGCUUGCAAAAAAGGCAGUGACCGGUGAGCUCUUCAAUGAAUUCUUAUGUUCCUUUUUUUGCUACUUCUGAUGAUGUGGGCAUAUGCUUUAAAGAGGCGAUGAUGAUUUUUGCCAAUUUAUCCUUCUUAGCUGAUUAUUCAGGCAUUUGAUGUUAUCCGACCCGUAUCUUGGCGAGGCAUGCCACCAGAUUUUCUGGUGAUUUUUGCAGUCAUGGCGUUGUUGGACUCUCUUUUUGCCUGAGCUUAACACAGAUCUGAGCCUAACUUUCUCUGUCAGUUUAGGGAAACUAACGGUUGGGAAAAUGAACAAAGCAAAAGCUCCAAAGGGAAAGAAUGAGGCUACGGAGAGUUGAUGAUUUUUCAUUGAAUGGGUGAUUGCUUCUCUCUGUAUUCAGCCAAUGAUUUCUGCAUUACUGUAAGAAUCCCAACAAUCCUGGAACAGAAAAUCUUUAAGAAUCGGAAUACUAUACUCGAUUUCACUUCUGGCGCCUUGCAUUUUGUUGGUGAUUCAUUGGUUCUUCCUGAUACCAUAGUUUAAAACUGGCUGGAGAAUGCGAAAGUUCUCCAUCUGAUUGAUAUGAGGUUUAUUCCGAUUGUGGCGAACACAACACUUGCUAUAAUUGAUCAGGUCUAUUCUGGCAUUUGCAUAGUCCAUUAUGGCCAUUCUUUGUUUCUCAUGAAUUUCCUUAUAAUGCAUUUACUUUAAACGAUUGUUUCUCUUAUGGAUCAUUUCGUUGGACUCAUUAGCAAAUAUAAAUCUCAGCAUAAACUUCUGCAUAAAUAGUAUAACAUUUAUUGGCCGCGUACGAAAAAGUAAUAUCCGCACAACUAUGUAGCACUCAGUUAUCUGCAAAAAAUAAGCUAGACAUAACUAAUGCAGCAUUUGGUUGGUGGUAUUUAAUUGUUCAUUAUUAAUACCCUCAUGACUUAUGCAAGAAUCUAUGUAUUACUUUAUGCGGGAUAGAUUAGGGAAUAAAAACAUAUUUUUCAACAAUGCAUGGAUAUGAGUAUUUACAGGCAAAAAUUCCCUUUGAUGUAGAUAGUCCCUACAUAGCAUAGCUCAUUUAUUAUUCAGUGUUAGAGAAUCCCUACAUUAUUAUUUACCGCAUAACAGUUUUUACCUGCAUGACUAACUUUAACCAAAUAAUGUCUUACUCUUUUGUAUUGCAAUUUUGUGAUAUUACUGAAGAGAAGGAGAGUGAUGUAGGGUGCUUUAUCUUUUGUUCCAUCACUUUAUGACCUUCUGGUGGAGUAUAUUCUUAUGUAGAAACUGAGGCCCAUGUCAAAAUAAAUGUGCAUCUCUUUUUGCAUAGUCAAGGGUUAUGAUCUUUGUUUGAUUCUAGCAUUUAUGUUCGUUGAGCAUUACACUCAUUGUCAUGUUCUACAGCAUACCUCAGAUGAGCGAAUUCGUUUGGAAGAACUGCGUGAGAAGGCAAUGAUUGUCUAAAAACUCAUUGAUGUGUCGUUUCAACGUGGAGUCUGUAACUUAGUGAAUUAUCAGGUCCUAUCUUGACAAAAGAGGACAACAACCUAUCUUGAUUCCGAGCAAGAAUUGGUGAGUAUAAUCGGUGGCUUUAAAGAGGUUAUCCGACCCAUAUCUUGGCGGGGAAUGCCACCCGAUUUUCUGGUGAUUUUUGCAGCCAUGGCGUUGCUGGACUCUCUUUUCUCCUGUGCUUAACACAGAUCUGAGCCUAACUUUCUCUGUCAGUUUAGGGAAACUAACGGUUGAGAAAAUGAACAAAGCAAAAUCUCAAAAGGGAAAGAAUGAGGCUACAGAGAGUUGAUGACUUUUCAUUGAAUUGGCGAUUGCUUCUCUCUAUAUUCAGUCAAUGAUUUCUGCAUUACUGUAAGAAUCCCAACUAAUCCUUCUAUCAAUUUUAUUGGAGGGUGUAUAUUAUUAACAGCUUGCUUGGAUUGUUUUUAUAUAUCGUCAAAGGGUUUCUAUGUCCUUCCACUCGUUUUUUUUUCUUUAUUUUAAUGCUUCCGCCAGAGCAUUGAAUGUUGCCGGUGGAGCUAGUGGAAGCGAUGAGGGUGAGUAUAAUCAGACGGCUUGAAAGAGGCGAUGAUGAUUUAUGUCAAUUUAUAUUCCCUUCUGAGCUGAUUAAUCGGGCAUUUGACGUUAUCUGACCCGUAUCUUGGCGGGGCAUGCCACCAGAUUUUCUGGUGUUUUUUGCAGCCAUGGAGUGGGUAGACUCGCUUUUUUCCUGAGCUUAAGCACAGAUCUGAGCCUCAAUUUACUGGACUCCAUUACUGUAAGAAACUCUAUAACCCUUUUGUCAAUUUUAACGGACGGAGUAUUCUAACAUCUUCAGGGUACUAUAUAAACAAAAGUUCUGGGAAAUGAAUAAAGCAAAAGCUCAGAAGGGAAAGAAUGAGGUUACAGGGAUCUGAGGGUUUUUGUUCCAAGGGUGGUUGCCUCUGACUGAUUUAACCAAUGAUUUCUCCAUUACUGUCUCCUUUUUUGUACCUGAUUUGUUGCACUUGAGCCUUGGGUCUUUCGAAAACAACCUCUUUGCCUCCACUAGGUAGUGGUAAUGUCUGCAUACAUUCUAUUCUCCCCCGUCCUCCACGAGAUGGAUUGGUGCUGGGAGAAAGAUAUGGUAAUCUUUUUGCAAAAUGUUGGACUGACAUCAUCUUUUUGCAAUAUAUGGUAAUAUUUUUGUAUAGAGGAUGAUUUCCUGGAUAGAAAAUUCAGUGCUUCAGCUGGCUUCAGUUAUAAAUCAGACUGCCUGUUAGGUUCAGGACGGGAGGAUGAGUCUAGUGUAGCUGGCAGAUCGAGGAUGCCUCAUUUAGGGAGUCUCUUGAACUUGAUGACAGUUCAAAUGUGAUGCAUGAGAGAAGGAAACCAUUUAUGCGGAGCACAGAAGCCUGAUACAUGAUGGAUCAUCUUUUGCUAGUGAUGAAGAUAUUAAGUUUGAAAAAAGUAACUACAGAAAUAAACGAAAUUGCCUUGAAGAUGAUUAUACUUUUGAAGUAUCUGAUGAUGUUAACCAGGUCUUAAAUGAAAGGUCUGCUAGAGGCAAGGCCAAGGAAAUAUAUUUUGAUAACUUCUCCUGGUGCAAAACUCAGAGCAAGGCAAUGCGGAGUCAAAAUUUGACAGGGCAUAUGCUUUAUAUGAAAAUUGAUAUACCUUUUCACCUCUUAGUAUGAUGCUCCAUUCUAGUAUCAUAAAGUAUUUUUUUUCCAAAUGAAUAUUCUUAUAUCGCAACUCUAUUUCUUUUUUCCAUGAGAUUUACUUCCUUAUAGGACUGUUCUUUUUAUGUUUGUUAUUCUUAUAAGUAGUGUAGUCCUAGUUUGAACUUAAAACCAGUUUUCACCAGUUAUAUGUUGCUAUAGGCAGUGGGACCUGCUAUGUUAAGGUGGAUGACCAAUGGAUCUGGUGUCUCACGAGAUGGACUGGUGCUGAUGGGAGUAAUUUAUGGACGUCUAGUGUUUUUACCUUGGAGUUGAUGAUUGUAGUCAAGAUUUCGGUACAACAGGUAAUUCUGUAUAAGCCUAUCUGAUACAUGAAUUGACUGUUGUUUGCUAAUAAGGAGAUUUGUUGGGAUUUUUCUCUUUGCAUUUAUUGUUUGUGAUGUAUUUUAUAACCAACCAGUUCGAAGGAAGCAAAUACACUCCAUGUACUUUUAAUUUGAAUGUAAGUGAUGUAUUUUUUAACCAACCAGUUUGAAUGCAAGUGAUGGUUCAUUCAAGCUUUCAGGAUACAUCUCAGGUCCUGAUGUUUACACAGUGAAAGUAUACUGGCCCAAAUUGAUGGAUAAAGAGAUGUGAUAAGUCAUCUUUUCUUCUCUGUUUCCCUAACAACCACUGUUUAAUUUGCAGGUCCUUCAGUAUUUCUGUAUCCACUUAUUUCAGUAUGUUUUCCUGACAAAAGAAACAAAAAAAUAUUUGGUUAACAUUUACUAUAUCGGAUGCUUGUUUUUUACGGUUUUUUUUGUUUUCCUUGACCUUCGUAAUGUAGAUAUCAAUUCAAGAUUUGUUUCAAAUGGACCACUACAUAAAUUACUUCAUAACAUAGCUAUGAGUUUUGACAGUGCUUCUGACAUUGAGCAGCGAAGUAUAUCUCAGAUAUAUCCACGGUUUUUGUUGAACCUAAACUGCCCAAGAUCUUUAUAUGCAUUUGACUUUGGAGCCUUCAAAGACCUCUGUGGAAUUUAAGAUAUACCUGUGAAUUAUGAGAUCAAGAAAAGAGGUAGGGUCCAGAGUUGCAAAGCUACACUUGAGCUUCCUUCCCUGCAGCCAAAACAACUGACUGGAGAGUGCACUGUCCGAGAGAGAUUCAAUCUUCACCAGAAUAUUCUGUGGGGAAGUGCUUCCAAAAAGCGUGAUCCUGAGUCCAGAUUCCUCUUGUCAGAUUGAAAGUUCAAGUCGGUGCAACCCCUUUCAUCCAAUGCCAGAAACUAGAGCUGUAAGGAGACUGCAGCAUUCUGCAAAAGCUAUCUACUCAGAACUUCCACAUCAGUCGUCCCAUCAGUGUGAUCAAUCUUCCACCCAAAGUUGUGGUGACGGUGUAUUCUCUGAUGAAAGGUAAUGUUACCAAAUUUCUUGGGAGGGUUAGGUCUCUUUCUGAUAUUAUCUCAAAUAUGUUAGUACCUUAAAAAACCUGAUGUUUCUCUCUUCAAGCCAAGUGUGAAAAUGAAACUUGUUAGCAUCCGGAAUAGCAAAUUACAAACUCAAGGGGAGUGCAGGGAGUGCACAAGUACACGUGAUUGGGAGUCAAAAGAAGAUGGUGGAAUUUUUCCUUUUCCAUUACGAGAUGCAGAGCUGUACUGGAACAGAGAAUCUUAAGAAUCAGGAUACUAUACUCAAUGUCACUUUUGUCGUCUUGCAUUUUGUUGGUGAUUCAUUGGUUCCUGAUACCAUUGGUAAAAACUGCCUGGAGGAUGCCAAAGUUCUCCAGCAGAUGAAUGAAUUCAUUCGGAAGAACUGCGUGAGAAGGUAAUGAUUGUCUUAAAAUUCAUCAAGUGUCAUUUCAACUUGGGGUCUGUAACUUAUUGAAUUAUCAGGUCCUAUCUGGAAAAAUGAGGACAACAACCUAUCUUGAUUCUGAGCAAGAAUUGGUACGUUCAUUAUGAUAAUAGGUGACAUUGAUUUUGAGUCUUUGGCCAUGCUUUUGCAGGUCAUGCCUGAAAUUGGUUACUACUAACUGGGGUUGGAUCUGCAACAAUCAUUCUCAAGCUUCAAGAUCAUUUUCCAGUUGAACCUCCUAACUCUGAGCAUGAAGUUAUAUGUUUUGGUUAAAGCAGGUUUCGUGUAUUUUGUGCGUUAAUCUAACUGAUGUGGAUCUGUUAGAAUUUAUUCAACAGCCCACAACUUGCUGAUACAGAUGGAUCAUCAAUAGUACCCCCAUCAGUGAAUUGGGUCCUGAAUAAACAAGACUUGCAGGGCUGCUAUCACAACAUACUCUCAGGAAACUGUCCAUAUCAUCUGCAACACAAUACAAGAGUCAGAAAAAAACUAAAAUAGUCUACACACAAUAGUUAAGUCAUUGUUUUGAUUUACAGGAUUUGUUGUCUUGGCUUUAGACGAACUCUGUUCAAGGACCUCACCGGGAAGGGAAAAGUUUGUGGUAAUUGGGGAUCUCCAAGGUUUUGGCUAUUUCAACAGUGAUGUUCGUGCAUAUCUUGGGGCUCUAUCCAUUUUAUAGGUCUACUUAUCCAUUUUCAUUUGAUUUUAACCUUCUAUACAUAAGACUGUUUAUUUUACCAGAACACCUACAAAGAUAACCAUAGGUAUACCAAUCCAUGAUAAGAAGAAUUAGUAACCUGGAAAACGGGACAUUUUUGAGUGGCGGAUCUAAAGGAGGCAAGGGAGGUCAAUUGAAUUUCCUUAGUCGAGAAAUGUUACCAUGUAAAUAGGGAAAAAAUAUAUUUUUUUUGUUAUACAUAUGAAAUGUUGAAUCCCCUUUAUAUUAAAAUUACAUUUCAAGAAAUAUCUGUAUUGAAACUUACAUUUGAUGGUAUCCAGUCUGCGAUAAUCUGGAUCUGGAGCAUGGUACAUCUAUACAGAUUAAACAAAUAAAUGUAUGUACUUAAAUGUAACACUAGCUUUGGUGGAAGCAACUCUCUCUCUCAAUCUCCCUCUCGACACACACAUUUGUAUUCAUGUAAAGCCAGAGUAACUCAGUGUGUAUAGAUAAUGAA